UAUUAUUAAGAUUAUAAAAGUUGGACCUGAGUAGUAGUAGUUAAGAUCUUGAAACUUAAAGAAUUUGGCGGUGUUUUAUUCCUCUCAGAGGAAUCUGUCCCGUAAUCGAUAUUACACGUUAAAUUUUACUUAAUUUGGUUUACAGCUUGUAUACCGCCGUCAUAAGAAUAUCUUUUAAGAGAAAUUUUCUUGAUAUUAAAUGAUAGUAUGUCAGGUCAAGGUGCAGUUAAUGAUUAAGUGGAGAUGGAUUACAAUGAUGUUAAUUAUAUGAAUUUAUUUUAGUGUAAUUAAUUAAUGAAGGUGGAUUUGAUAGUAAUUUUAUUAAAAUAUAAUAAGGUGAAUUGGGCUCUAAAAUAUGUACACAUCGCCCGUCACUCUCAUUCUUUAAAUGAG
RNAcentral lists this ribosomal RNA (393 nucleotides) under Steirodon careovirgulatum. RNAcentral's name for it is "partial 12S ribosomal RNA". It matches the Rfam family "Microsporidia small subunit ribosomal RNA", at positions 752 to 1263 of the family's 1311-position model. The record is from RNAcentral. Lineage: Eukaryota; Metazoa; Arthropoda; Insecta; Orthoptera; Tettigoniidae.